UUCAAUAAAACAUUUAAAUUUUACAUGAAAAAAUAUAUUAAUUCUAUUUUAUUAAAUGAAAUAAUCUUAAAUUAAAUAUAUCAAUUUAAUAAACUAUCAAGUUCCAUAAUUAAAUAUUUACUAUGAAUUUAAAAUUUUGUAAAUUUAUAACUUGAUUAUUUAAAUUUAAUAAUUCGUGAUAAAUUAAUUAAUUUAAUAUGAUAACUUAUAUUGAUUAAUUAAAAUUAUGACUCAAUAGUCGUUUCGGAAGAAUGUAAAAUGAAAUAUGCAGGAGAACAAUUAUGCAUAAAAAUGUUUGAGAACGGAGAAAGGGAAGACUUGAUCGGAGAUCGGAAUACUAAAAAAAGUUCAUUUUAAGGACUUGGACUCUGGUGUGGAAAAUGAUAUGGUUGUGGACUCUAUUCCGGCGCAGGAAAUCUCUUGGAGGGACAAAGUUCUGGGUCGAGGGGCUCCUGACUCCAGUAGAGACGAGGAUUUUGAAUUUCUAGAUGGAAAUGUCGUGAGAACUACGGUUAAUGGUGUUCCCCCUAUCAACUUUUCCGAAAGGAGCCAACGAAUUCCCUUCCCUCCGACAGGAGCCAACGAAUUCCCUUCCCAGAUAUGGCGACCACGGUGGUUGUUAAAUUACUUGGCCGGAAUAUUUCUUACUCUAUUUUGCAUAAUAGGAACCACAGUCUCUAGAAGCCUUCACAACAGAUUCACAUAAUGGAUGUGGAAAAUUGUUAUUUCCUGAUAAAAUUUCAAAGUCAUGACGAUUAUGAGAGGGUUCUUACCUAGGGUCCAUGGAUUGUCCUUGGCCAAUAUCUCACGGUUCAACCGUGGACUGCAGAGUUUAAUCCUCUCCAAGCAUUUCCUAGCAGCACCAUCGUUUGGGUCAGAUUACCGGGGUCUCUUGGGGUUCCUCUAUAAGCGCCAAAUAUUAGAAGAAAUCGGAGGUCUGAUUGGGACGGUCACAAAGCUCGAUUUUCAAACGGACAAAGGUUCGAGGGGAAAUUUUGCAAGAAUGGUCGUGUGCAUUGAUUUGAUAAAACCUUUGGUAUCUCAGAUCUUGGUUAACAGGGCGGUGCAGAAGGUUGAGUUUGAAGCGUUGCUAUUUGUGUGUUUCUCUUGUGGAAGAUUCGGGCAUUCAAAUGCCACGUGCGUAGAAAUGGGAUAUUCACAAAAUGCUGGCGAUGGAAUGAACACAGCAAUGGAAAGCUUACUGGAGGUAGUCAAAGCGGUGGAGCCAUUGGAGCCUUUUGGUCCCUGGAUGAUCGUUGAGAGGAAGUCAAAGCAUAAUUCUAGCGCUCGCAUUAAUACUGAAACGAAAAUUGCCAUGAAUAACGCUCUGAAUCUGUUUGGGAUUUGGAAAGGCUGAGAUAAGGGAAAAAGAAGCAGAUGUUUCGGGGAUAACAUUUCAAAAAGGGAAAUUUCUCAAAGGGAUCAAUCAAAGGACUGCUUCUAGGGAUAAGGGAAAUACUGAGCUAAUAACCAAAACGGCAAAUAACUUUAGCGUGUUGGGAAAAGCAGAUGUGGACGGGCUGGACUUUUUGAUGGAAAUAGAGGCAGGUGGAUAGCGGGCUUAUGGUGGAGGGUCCGGGUAUGUCUAUUGAGUCACUGGUGGACCCACAAGGUUUUAGCAGCUGAUAUUAACGUGCAAAUCAAAGACACUGGGCUUGGCUUACCGAGUUUGUAUUUAUUGAAGGAUCCCGGGGGCCAGGUGGACAGUGGGCCCGUGUUGGCUGAAACGGGUUUUCAUAAAGGUUUAUUAGUUGAUCCAUCAGGUCUUAAAAAACAUAGUGGAUGAAAAUAAAAAUAAGACCAAGCUUGCUGGGCUUGUUGUGCCGUGCCAAGAAAGUGGAGGUUUGGGGAUUUCUUUUAAUUCGUUGAUACAAGUCUAAAG
This 1882-nucleotide long non-coding RNA is filed under the name Gossypium barbadense (sea-island cotton). RNAcentral describes it as "long non-coding RNA (GBAR_LNC012730)". Lineage: Eukaryota; Viridiplantae; Streptophyta; Magnoliopsida; Malvales; Malvaceae. The record is from RNAcentral.